AAGAGUUGGACCAAGGCAAAGAGAAUCCUUGCAGUUAUGAACGUGGAAGUCAAACAUUUUCUCGAUGUUGAGAUACUACUCUACGAGGGAAAGAUUAAGGUUUAUGACUGCAACUUACCUGUCUUCAGCGAGAGACAUAUUUUUAGCCAACAUGCAGCCACUCUUGAAGUUGUUGCCCAAGUUGUUGAUGCAGAGUAAGCUGAUGGAUCAUUCGCCAUCUGAAGUCUUGACGAAGGAAUC
RNAcentral lists this long non-coding RNA (240 nucleotides) under Capsicum annuum. Its description in RNAcentral is "long non-coding RNA (CANN_LNC019528)". The record is from RNAcentral. Lineage: Eukaryota; Viridiplantae; Streptophyta; Magnoliopsida; Solanales; Solanaceae.